RNAcentral lists this unclassified non-coding RNA (250 nucleotides) under plant metagenome. RNAcentral describes it as "partial contains small subunit ribosomal RNA, internal transcribed spacer 1, and 5.8S ribosomal RNA". The record is from RNAcentral.
GUAGGUGAACCUGCGGAAGGAUCAUUAUCACGUUAUCCACGUAUCAACCAUUGUGAACCGUUUUACCUUUUGUCGAGAGUGAGGUAGUGGGAGAUAGAACUGCUCGUUUAAUGAUUUAGAGAGCACUUAAGGUUUUAUUUCUCCAUGGAACCGAUUUUUCGGUACAUACUCGUUCACUUCAAAUUGUAUUUUCAAAAAUCAUUGAAUAACAAUUCUAACUAUUUUGAACUUUGACUUAUCUUUUUCAUAC